This 529-nucleotide ribosomal RNA is filed under the name uncultured bacterium. RNAcentral's name for it is "bacterial SSU rRNA". It matches the Rfam family "Bacterial small subunit ribosomal RNA", at positions 777 to 1304 of the family's 1533-position model. The record is from RNAcentral.
AAUAGAUACCCGGGUAGUCCAUGCCGUAAACGAUGUCUACUAGCCGUUGGGGCCCUUGAGGCUUUAGUGGCGCAGCUAACGCGAUAAGUAGACCGCCUGGGGAGUACGGUCGCAAGACUAAAACUCAAAUGAAUUGACGGGGGCCCGCACAAGCGGUGGAGCAUGUGGUUUAAUUCGAUGCAACGCGAAGAACCUUACCUGGCCUUGACAUACAGAGAACUUUCCAGAGAUGGAUUGGUGCCUUCGGGAACUCUGAUACAGGUGCUGCAUGGCUGUCGUCAGCUCGUGUCGUGAGAUGUUGGGUUAAGUCCCGCAACGAGCGCAACCCUUUUCCUAUUUGCCUAGCACUUCGGGUGGGAACUUUAAGGAUACUGCCAGUGACAAACUGGAGGAAGGCGGGGACGACGUCAAGGUCAUCGAUGGCCCUUACGGCCAGGGCUACACACGUGCUACAAUGGUCGGUACAAAGGGUUGCUACUGCGCGAGCAGAUGCUAAUCUCAAAAAGCCGAUCGUAGUCCGGAUCGCAGU